AUGGGUGCCCCGACGUUGCCCCCUGCCUGGCAGCCCUUUCUCAAGGACCACCGCAUCUCUACAUUCAAGAACUGGCCCUUCUUGGAGGGCUGCGCCUGCACCCCGGAGCGGAGAGGAACAUAAAAAGCAUUCGUCCGGUUGCGCUUUCCUUUCUGUCAAGAAGCAGUUUGAAGAAUUAACCCUUGGUGAAUUUUUGAAACUGGACAGAGAAAGAGCCAAGAACAAAAUUGGUCUUACUCUGUCACCCAGGCUGAGUGCAGUGGUGUGAUCUUGGCUCACCUCAGCCUCGACCCCCUGGGCUCAAAUGAUUCUCCCACCUCAGCUUCCCAAGUAGCUGGGACCACAGGCAAAGGAAACCAACAAUAAGAAGAAAGAAUUUGAGGAAACUGCGGAGAAAGUGCGCCGUGCCAUCGAGCAGCUGGCUGCCAUGGAUUGAGGCCUCUGGCCGGAGCUGCCUGGUCCCAGAGUGGCUGCACCACUUCCAGGGUUUAUUCCCUGGUGCCACCAGCCUUCCUGUGGGCCCCUUAGCAAUGUCUUAGGAAAGGAGAUCAACAUUUUCAAAUUAGAUGUUUCAACUGUGCUCUUGUUUUGUCUUGAAAGUGGCACCAGAGGUGCUUCUGCCUGUGCAGCGGGUGCUGCUGGUAACAGUGGC
This 652-nucleotide unclassified non-coding RNA is filed under the name Homo sapiens (human). RNAcentral's name for it is "partial baculoviral IAP repeat containing 5 transcript variant 10". The record is from RNAcentral. Lineage: Eukaryota; Metazoa; Chordata; Mammalia; Primates; Hominidae.